Long non-coding RNA from Eleginops maclovinus (Patagonian blennie), 1118 nucleotides. RefSeq lists it as uncharacterized. The transcript has 3 exons. NCBI's taxonomy places the organism in Eukaryota, Metazoa, Chordata, Actinopteri, Perciformes, Eleginopidae. The record is from RefSeq and is a predicted model, not a curated record.
GAACCCACUUUUUAACCCAAAAAAAGUUAAAACCGUUAAACAUUAUAACUCACGGUUGCAAGGUGUUUCCUCUCCCGUGGAUCCGGUGCUUCUGGUCCCGGUUACUGGAGCAGGAUGAAUGGGAUGUGUUCAGGGGCUCCAGGAAAUCUGAGUGACACAACAGGGGAAAUGCAAAUGCAGAAAUGAGCACGUGGAAAAGCCGCCUCUUCAGGUCACAUGUCUUCUUCUUCUUCGGUGGGUUUUUUAUGGCAGCUGGCAUCCAAAUUGUUGCAUUGCUGCCACCUUCAGGAUAAUUUUAAGAAAGGAGAUACCCUGAAACUAAAAGGACCUCAUCCUUCGCCUCCAUGACAUUUCAGACGGACAUAUUCUUCUUUGCGCACACAGCUGGGACCGGAGCGCUGGCUGACCUUCAGGAUCAGAAAGCUGUCUCUGUCUCUGUUGGUGGAACCUGAAAUGUUUUCUGGUCUUAUUUGAACAAAGUGAUCACAUGACUCCUUCUGAUAUCACUGCAGAUGAGCUGUAAGCUAGCUAGCUAAUGUAGUUAACCUUCAGAUAUACUGACCAACACUUCCAGUUAAUGAUCCAGCAUCCUCUAAAACCCGAAAUUGUGCCCAUAUUUCUAUAAAAUCAGCCAACAGAGAGGACUCUUUCUGGUUAAAACUGCCAUUUGUGAGCCUGGGAAUGUCAGAAAUGCAUUCCUCAUCCUCAAUAACCCGCAGACACUCUAAAGUUGUCCAAAUUCACCAAACCUUUUUUUAAGCAUAUAGGCGAGAAUGAUAAUCAAUGCUAAUAAAGCAACUUAAUCGUGCAAAUUGCCCACCAUACGCAAGUUAUCAACCUGGCAGUUUCUAUGUGCUGGAGACCCCAUCAUCAUUUCCAGGACUCUGAGCUGCAGACUGACCAGUAGCUGUCCCCAUCAUACAGCCCGUUGGUCAGUGAUAUAACUGGGAGUGAUGUGGGGGGCAAAGAGAGGGAUGGUAAAUGAGAAACACCAAUUCAAUUAAGUCUCCUGAUGGUUAUCUCUAAUUGGCUUACAGCGUUUGUGUUGUGGAUCGCAGACACUGACAGUCUGUCGUCUCCCGGCCAGCAGAGACGAUGUUCCUCUAAGAACUGGACAA